RNAcentral lists this ribosomal RNA (869 nucleotides) under uncultured bacterium. Its description in RNAcentral is "bacterial SSU rRNA". It matches the Rfam family "Bacterial small subunit ribosomal RNA", at positions 24 to 896 of the family's 1533-position model. The record is from RNAcentral.
UUCGGAAGCUUACGUUUGGCGGUAUGUCAAUACAUGCUAGUCGAAGGAAGCCUUCGGUGUUAGUGGCGAACGGGUGAGUAACAUGUACCUAAUCUACCUAGUAGAGGGGGAUAACAGUUGGAAACAAUUGCUAAUACCGCAUAAUAAUUAUUAUCAUAAGAUAAUACUUCAAAGGAGCGCUUGCUCCGCUAUUAGAUGAGGGUGCACCGUAUUAGUUGGUUGGUGAGGUAAUGGCUCACCAAGACAAUGAUACGUAGCCGACCUGAGAGGGUGAACGGCCACAUCGGGACUGAGACACGGCCCGAACUCCUACGGGAGGCAGCAGUAGGGAAUUUUUCACAAUGGGCGCAAGCCUGAUGGAGCAAUGCCGCGUGAUUGAUGAAGAUCUUAGGAUUGUAAAAAUCUGUUGUUAGUGAUGAAUAUUUAAGUUAGGAAAUGAUCUUAAUAUGACAGUAACUAACCAGAAAGCCACGGCUAACUAUGUGCCAGCAGCCGCGGUAAUACAUAGGUGGCAAGCGUUAUCCGGAAUUAUUGGGCGUAAAGAGUGCGCGGACGGGUUUAGCAAGUUUAAGGUUAAAUACUAAGGCUCAACCUUAGUUCGCCUUAAAAACUGUUAGACUAGAAUAUAGAGGAAGUUGAUGGAAUUCCAUAUGUAGUGGUGGAAUACGUAAAUAUAUGGAGGAAUACCAGAGGCGAAGGCGGUCAACUAAUCUAUCAUUGACGUUUAGGCACGAAAGCGUGGGGAGCAAAUAGGAUUAGAUACCCUAGUAGUCCACGCUGUAAACGAUGGAGUACUAGUUGUCAGCAUUAUGUUGGAACGCAGCUUACGCAUUAAGUACUCCGGCCUGAAUAGUAUGCUCGCAAGAGUG